GUGCUUGCUUUGGCAGCACAUACACUAAAAUUGGAAUAACACAGAGAAGAUUGGCAUGGUCCCUGUGCAAGGAUAACAAAACACCAAAACAAAACAGUAUGGUAUUG
Molecule: small nuclear RNA, 107 nt
Filed under: Cervus hanglu yarkandensis (Yarkand deer)
Lineage: Eukaryota; Metazoa; Chordata; Mammalia; Artiodactyla; Cervidae
Source: RNAcentral